AUACUUACCUGACAGGGUAGGCACCAUGAUUAUUUAGGUGGUCCUCCCAGGGUUAGGCUCAUCCAUUGCACUGUGGGUGGGUUGACCCCUGCGAUUUCCCCAAAUGCGGGGAAACUCGAAUGUAUAAUUUGUUAUACUGGGGGACUGCGUUCGCGCUAUCCCCCG
This 165-nucleotide small nuclear RNA is filed under the name Petromyzon marinus (sea lamprey). RNAcentral describes it as "U1 spliceosomal RNA (ENSPMAG00000010521.1)". It matches the Rfam family "U1 spliceosomal RNA". Rfam says of the family: U1 is a small nuclear RNA (snRNA) component of the spliceosome (involved in pre-mRNA splicing). Lineage: Eukaryota; Metazoa; Chordata; Hyperoartia; Petromyzontiformes; Petromyzontidae. The record is from RNAcentral.